AGAAUCAACGCUGGCGGCGUGCCUAACACAUGCAAGUCGAACGAGAAAGUGGAGCAAUCCAUGAGUAAAGUGGCGCACGGGUGAGUAACACGUGACUAACCUACCUUUUAGUGGGGGAUAACCUAGGGAAACCUGGGCUAAUACCGCAUAAUACCUACGGGUCAAAGCAGCAAUGCGCUGAAAGAGGGGGUCGCGGUCGAUUAGUUAGUUGGCAGGGUAAUGGCCUACCAAGACUGUGAUCGAUAUCCGGCCUGAGAGGGCGCACGGACACACUGGAACUGAAACACGGUCCAGACUCCUACGGGAGGCAGCAGUGGGGAAUUUUGCGCAAUGGGGGAAACCCUGACGCAGCAACGCCGCGUGGAGGAUGAAGUCCCUUGGGACGUAAACUCCUUUCGAUGGGGAAGAUUAUGACGGUACCCAUAGAAGAAGCCCCGGCUAACUUCGUGCCAGCAGCCGC
RNAcentral lists this ribosomal RNA (460 nucleotides) under uncultured bacterium. RNAcentral's name for it is "SSU rRNA". It matches the Rfam family "Bacterial small subunit ribosomal RNA", at positions 26 to 518 of the family's 1533-position model. The record is from RNAcentral.